This 386-nucleotide ribosomal RNA is filed under the name uncultured bacterium. Its description in RNAcentral is "bacterial SSU rRNA". It matches the Rfam family "Bacterial small subunit ribosomal RNA", at positions 30 to 416 of the family's 1533-position model. The record is from RNAcentral.
AUUGAACGCUGGCGGCAUGCCUUACACAUGCAAGUCGAACGGCAGCACGGACUUCGGUCUGGUGGCGAGUGGCGAACGGGUGAGUAAUGCAUCGGAACGUGCCAUUGAGUGGGGGAUAACGUAGCGAAAGUUGCGCUAAUACCGCAUAUUCUGUGAGCAGGAAAGCAGGGGACCGCAAGGCCUUGCGCUCUUUGAGCGGCCGAUGUCAGAUUAGCUAGUUGGUGAGGUAAAGGCUUACCAAGGCGACGAUCUGUAGCGGGUCUGAGAGGAUGAUCCGCCACACUGGAACUGAGACACGGUCCAGACUCCUACGGGAGGCAGCAGUGGGGAAUUUUGGACAAUGGGCGGAAGCCUGAUCCAGCCAUGCCGCGUGAGUGAAGAAGGCC